RNAcentral lists this ribosomal RNA (253 nucleotides) under uncultured bacterium. RNAcentral describes it as "partial 16S ribosomal RNA". It matches the Rfam family "Bacterial small subunit ribosomal RNA", at positions 524 to 776 of the family's 1533-position model. The record is from RNAcentral.
UACGAAGGGGGCUAGCGUUGCUCGGAAUCACUGGGCGUAAAGGGCGCGUAGGCUGCCAUUCAAGUCGGAGGUGAAAGCCCAGGGCUCAACCCUGGAAUUGCCUUCGAUACUGUUUGGCUGGAGACCGGAAGAGGUAAGUGGAACUGCGAGUGUAGAGGUGAAAUUCGUAGAUAUUCGGAAGAACACCAGUGGCGAAGGCGACUCACUGGCCCGAUACUGACGCUGAGGCGCGAAAGCGUGGGGAGCAAACAGG